RNAcentral lists this ribosomal RNA (494 nucleotides) under uncultured bacterium. RNAcentral's name for it is "partial 16S ribosomal RNA". It matches the Rfam family "Bacterial small subunit ribosomal RNA", at positions 28 to 507 of the family's 1533-position model. The record is from RNAcentral.
GACGAACGCUGGCGGCGUGCUUAACACAUGCAAGUCGAACGGAAAGGCCUGCUUUCCCUUGUGGAUUGCGGGUACUCGAGUGGCGAACGGGUGAGUAACACGUGAGUGAUCUGCCCCCAACUUGGGUAUAAGCCUGGGAAACUGGGUCUAAUUCCCGAUAGGACUGCAGGGUGGUGCCUGUGGUGGAAAACGAUUUUCUAGUGGUUGGGGAUGAGCUCGCGGCCUAUCAGCUUGUUGGUGGGGUAAUGGCCUACCAAGGCGGCGACGGGUAGCCGGCCUGAGAGGGUGGACGGCCACAUUGGGACUGAGAUACGGCCCAGACUCCUACGGGAGGCAGCAGUGGGGAAUAUUGCACAAUGGGCGGAAGCCUGAUGCAGCGACGCCGCGUGGGGGAUGACGGCCUUCGGGUUGUAAACUCCUUUCGACCGCGAGGAAGCCACCUGGUUGGAAGGGUGGUGACGGUAGUGGUGGAAGAGGCACCGGCUAACUACGUG